UUGGCAGCCCAAAUAAUUCCCCAAAAGUAUGUUCUCCAUCCAGAUCUAAGAUCCAAACUUCAAAAAACACCAAAAUAGUAGAAAACUAAAAAUUCUUCCAUUGAAAGCUCUUUGUUCCAGCUUGUUUACUUUUGAAACAGCAUAAGUUUUCUCUUAAGUUUUCAUUCAGUUGAGAUUCAGCAGCUUUCGACGUCCUUUGGGUCGUAUCUGGUUUGAUUCAAGUUUGGUUGAUUGGUUGUUUUCUAGAAUUAUUAAUUACUGGUUUGUUUUUAAGUAGGUGGUGUCAUUUUGGUUUAAAAUUGCAUUGGCUUUCAAUAUCAAAUUCUCUUGUUGCUUAUGAGUUGAUCCCUGCUGAUUUGUAUCCAAUUUGUUGCUGCUGUUACGUCUACUGUUGCUGACUGCUCCUAUUUCUCAUUGUAUUUCGAAUUCCAGGUACAUGUUUUGACCUCACCUAUGAUGCAUUUUCCAUUAAAAUGGAAUGAAUUGACGAUUCAAGGCUAUUCUCACUGCUAUUGAUUAGGGAUGCAAUCAGUUUGGAAUUAUGCAAUGAUUUAAAUUUUGAAUCUGAACUAACAGUUUGCUACUCGAACAUGUACUACAUCGUUCAAUUUUGCUAUUUCAUGGACUGUUAGUUUGGUUUAUUUAAUUAGUGGCGGUAAUUGGAUUCAAUAUUGUUGUUAGUAUAUCGUGGGUUGAGGUGAUGUAUUUUCCUCUAUUUUAGCACAGUUCAAAAGUAAUCCAUGUUUUAAUGAUAGUUUCAGCUUGUUUUAGUCAGGGAACGUGUAUUCGAUUUACCUUAACGUAUAAUUAGAAUGCUAUAGGACUGUUAUGGUUAUUCCUUAGGUUUGUUUGAAUUUUAUUUUAGUAGAAGAACACACCCUAGCUCUGUUAAUUCCGGUUAGGGUGUGCGAUUUUUUUUUUUUCUGAAAAUUUUUAGUCUAAUUUCUAAACUACCCUGUAAGGUGCCACCAAUUAAAACCUAUGGAGAUAUUGUCUUUCUUUUUUUUUUUACCACAAAUAGGUGAAAUACUAAUAAGGGAGACAAUAUCGCCGGAGUUGUUACCCAUAUGACAUAACCGGUCUAACCUUACCUUAUUCAUCCUAUUAUGAUUAUAUUACAGAAAAUAAAACUAAUGUGAUGGAAAAUUAAAAGGUUUAAAUAUGGCUUCAACCUUCACAUUUUGUUACUCGAUCGAUUGGGCUUUGAAAAAGAUGUUUGCGCGACGUGUUUUAGUUUUGCAUUUCUCAUUGGGGGUCUCCUUAUGAUCUGGCUAUUCAUUGCAUCCAACUUUUCCUUCUCCUCAAAAGUAGUGAUUGAGUUUAUUUGAACAAUAUGAUUCUGUGCAACUGUUGGUAGCGGCGUUGCAAUUCGAUUAGCAACUGAAGUCUCGCCUGGAUUUAUAGAAAUUCUUGCAAAAAGUACUGGAGCAUUAUGGUUCAAGUUGCUACUGAGUUUGCUGGUUGUUUUAAAUUUGCAGGACACUUGAUUGUCACUGAUUUUCUUUGACAUUUUGGCUUAAGCUGAACGUCAAUGUCCUCUCCUUCACUGUCGUCAUCAAAAUCUUGGUUGUCAUCUGAAUAUGAAAAACCUGCUAAUCCUCCCCAGCCCUCAUCGUCGUCAUACUCUCAUUGGUCUUUCCACAGCUUUGAUUUAACGACCAUGUUUCUCAUUUUAGCUUGAACCAAUUGUUUGUUGUUUUCAUUGGAGGUUGAUGGAUAUCCCUAUUUUUUACUAAGUGUCACCUCUUGUGUACUAGAUGACGGAUUUGUUGAAGAAAUAUGAUCCUCGGCCAUUGAACUCUUGUCCACGAUCUGCCUUUUGUUUUUGGAUUUUGGAGUUGCUAUUCUGUUGGAAAUGGCAGAACAGUUCUUUGUAGUGUGAUGUGCAGUUUUUGUUGUAUGAUGAGAAGUAUCCUUAGGCUCUAAAACCAUAACACUUUGAAACGAGGCUUCAUGAUAAACUGCAGUUGCUGCCUUUGUCGAAGAAAUGUUGCUGCCUUGUUGAACCAUAUCAGAUUGCCGAGAGAAAUCUUGACAAUAUGUGGUCUGCACAGCCUCAUCUUCUGAAGGACUUGCUGAAAUUUGAACUAAUGGACUCACAGAUUCAAGAUUACCAUUCCUAGAUAUGUUUCGAACAGCUUGAGAUCGCAAAGGAGAAAUAUGAUCUAGUUCUGAGUAAAUGCACA
This 2186-nucleotide long non-coding RNA is filed under the name Nicotiana benthamiana. Its description in RNAcentral is "long non-coding RNA (NBEN_LNC037602)". The record is from RNAcentral. Lineage: Eukaryota; Viridiplantae; Streptophyta; Magnoliopsida; Solanales; Solanaceae.